RNAcentral lists this small RNA (23 nucleotides) under Arabidopsis thaliana (thale cress). RNAcentral describes it as "ATSL138920". The record is from RNAcentral. Lineage: Eukaryota; Viridiplantae; Streptophyta; Magnoliopsida; Brassicales; Brassicaceae.
CGAACCGGAAGAAGAAGAAAAAA